GUUUUAUUACCUUCUUCCCACAUUAACUCAUCCAUCCAUUCAAUAGCCAUUUAUUGAGAAGCUCACUCUGUGUUAGGCACAGUGGUGUCAUGAUGUUGGAACAGUAACAAUAACUCAACCAACCAGGGCUUGUCUGAAUACAAUCCUACAGCAGCAGGAGCUGUGGAGAUAUAGAAGGCAAGGAAGACCAGGUUGUGAGGGAAGACGAAUUUACUCCCAGGAAUGUUGGGAUUGAGAGUAAUAUUCUCCAAUAAUGGUGGAA
This 262-nucleotide long non-coding RNA is filed under the name Homo sapiens (human). Its description in RNAcentral is "non-protein coding LINC02085:11". Lineage: Eukaryota; Metazoa; Chordata; Mammalia; Primates; Hominidae. The record is from RNAcentral.